RNAcentral lists this long non-coding RNA (553 nucleotides) under Chloebia gouldiae (Gouldian finch). Its description in RNAcentral is "Erythrura gouldiae (Gouldian finch) lncRNA (ENSEGOG00005009883.1)". The record is from RNAcentral. Lineage: Eukaryota; Metazoa; Chordata; Aves; Passeriformes; Passeridae.
GUGGGAUUAAAGCAAUGCUUUCAUAUGCAUAGAGAGACUACCAUAACAUCUCAAGAUAGUUUCCAUCUCUAAUCUUAGUUCUCCCGAGACCAGUUCUGGAGUCCACAUCUUUUCCUUUCCUGAAAACCACGAGGACAGUGAUGGCAACUGAGAGACCAGACCUGGAAUGGACCUCGUCUGCCUCACGGGGAACCACAAGGAUGGCUGCUCGAAGACCGAGGCCGAAGUCCAGCACUCCUUCCUCCCCGGCAGCUCAACAGACUGGCAUGGCUACCCUGGAAUCAGGCCUGAAAAUCACUCCUCACCCCUCCAUGGAAACCAGAGAGAGCGUGAUGGCUUUUGAUGAAACUCAGCACAUUUCUUCAAGACCUGAAACAUCAGGCAUCCAAGAAAUACCAUCAGCUAUACCUGUUCUCCCGAGACCAGUUCUGGAGUCCACAUCUUUUCCUUUCCUGAAAACCACGAGGACAGUGAUGGGUAAAGAGUUAUUCCAUCCUAAUGUCUAUCAUUUCACAGUACUUAAAUAAGAAAAGCUGUAUUUCAAAAUUUAGUC